Molecule: ribosomal RNA, 1359 nt
Filed under: uncultured bacterium
Lineage: Bacteria
Description: bacterial SSU rRNA
Rfam family: Bacterial small subunit ribosomal RNA
Source: RNAcentral
GACGAACGCUGGCGGCGUGCUUAACACAUGCAAGUCGAACGAUGAAGCGCUGUCUUUGUGGUGGUGUGGAUUAGUGGCGAACGGGUGAGUAAUACGCGGGCAACCUGCCCCUCUGCUUCGGGAUAAGCUUUGGAAACGGGGUCUAAUACCGGAUGUGCCUGUCUGGUCGCAUGGCUGGGCGGGGAAAGAUGUUUUUCGGCGGGGGAUGGGCUCGCGGCCUAUCAGCUUGUUGGUGGGGUGACGGCCUACCAAGGCGUCGACGGGUAGCCGGCCUGAGAGGGUGGUCGGCCACACUGGGACUGAGAUACGGCCCAGACUCCUACGGGAGGCAGCAGUGGGGGAUAUUGCACAAUGGGCGCAAGCCUGAUGCAGCGACGCCGCGUGGGGGAUGGAGGCUUUCGGGUUGUAAACCCCUUUCGGCGCGGGACAAGGCUCCGUUUGGCGGGGUUGAGGGUACGCGUCAAAGAAGCGCCGGCUAACUACGUGCCAGCAGCCGCGGUAAUACGUAGGGCGCGAGCGUUGUCCGGAAUUAUUGGGCGUAAGGGCUCGUAGGCGGCUUGUCGCGUCUGCUGUGAAAACGCGGGGCUCAACUCCGCGCGUGCAGUGGGUACGGGCAGGCUGGAGUGCGGCAGGGGUGGCUGGAAUUCCUGGUGUAGCGGUGGAAUGCGCAGAUAUCAGGAAGAACACCGAUGGCGAAGGCAGGCCACUGGGCCGUCACUGACGCUGAGGAGCGAAAGCGUGGGGAGCGAACAGGAUUAGAUACCCUGGUAGUCCACGCUGUAAACGUUGGGAACUAGGUGUGGGGUCUGUUCCACGGAUUCUGCGCCGGAGCUAACGCGUUAAGUUCCCCGCCUGGGGAGUACGGCCGCAAGGCUAAAACUCAAAGGAAUUGACGGGGGCCCGCACAAGCGGCGGAGCAUGCGGAUUAAUUCGAUGCAACGCGUAGAACCUUACCAAGGCUUGACAUGUGCCGGGAGGGCGCGGAGACGCGUCUGCCUUCGGGCCGGUUCACAGGUGGUGCAUGGUUGUCGUCAGCUCGUGUCGUGAGAUGUUGGGUUAAGUCCCGCAACGAGCGCAACCCUUGUCCCGUGUUGCCAGCGCGUUGUGGCGGGGACUCACGGGGGACUGCCGGGGUCAACUCGGAGGAAGGUGGGGACGACGUCAAAUCAUCAUGCCCCUUAUGCCUUGGGCUUCACGCAUGCUACAAUGGCCGGUACAGAGGGUGGCGAUGCCGUGAGGCGGAGCGAAUCUCGUAAAGCCGGUCUCAGUUCGGAUCGGGGUCUGCAACUCGGGCCCGUGAAGUCGGAGUCGCUAGUAAUCGCAGAUCGGCAACGCUGCGGUGAAUACGUUCUCGGGCCU